CUGUAAUUUAUUUGGUUUUUUUUUUUUUUUUUUAAUAGAAAUAUGCCAAGGUCAGGGUGCACAAACACAAAAAGCACUUUGGAGGAUGGGAAGAGGAUGCUUACAUGUUGUCCUCAAUGCGCAAGAUGUUGCUUUCUAAAAAUGCCUUAAAAGCAUAAAACAUUUUUACAUGGAUUUCUUUUGAAACCGUGCUCCUCAGGAUUUAGUGACCUUUUGACUGCAGACCUGAGGCCUGUACGCGUAGCUGUGUUAGCCAACAUUUAUGAGUUCGCCUGCAGAAUAGAUGCACCGACCGCCUCGAACAACUACUCAGAAAUGCUUCCCGCUUAUGAUGUCAGGUGUGUGUUUUCAAUGCUUUUGGCAGUGAUUCUACACAGCGACAGCAGCAUCCGUUCCCAGUAUUUGUUGAAGCACGUUAGAGGCAAUACCCAACACCUACGUAAUUAGCCAUAAAAUUCAAUGUAAAGAAUUACUCAGACUGUUAGAAUUUGAUAAGUUCUCACUGUCAGUACAUGUGCGGCAGUAAGAAGUGUGAUGGUGUGUUUGGCUGAAUGCUUUGUGUGCUUUCUUCUCUGGCUUGGUUCCCACUGGACGGAUGGCACCAGCUCGUGAGUGACGUUCUCGAGACCCCUUUUGGUGGCAACUUUGGACAGAAAUAAGGUGGCGAUGGGGUGCUGAGAAAAGUGCACGCGGGACCGCGGAGGUUAAUCGGCCUUUAUACGUACGUGAUCGGCAGUGGAAGCGUUUACUGUACCCGGCUGCCUUUCAGAGAAGUAGGAGUUCCCCUUCCGACAAAGUGCGCAGGUCCCUGAAGUUUUCAACUUGAACACAGUCACUGCUGGAAGAGAAAGCUCAUGGGAGGCACUCAUGUAGGAGGUGUGCCGUGGUCAUGGCCUUCUUCCACACGUGUCUGGGCUGCAUGCAAAGUACCAAUCAUUUACUCAAAAAGAAAUGAGCGAGGGCAAAACUCUGUGUGUCUGAAUCAUCUGUGUAUACUUACUGGCCUUCCCUUCUGCUAAUCCAGCCAUAUUUUCAAGUAAAACUUUCGUUUUUUGAAAUGUAAUAUUGGAAAAUGAAAACCAAGGAUUUAAAAAAAAAAAAAAAAAAAACUGUCCCAAAAAUGCUUUAAAAAAAAGGUGCACAAAUGAUGGGACUGCGGUUAUCGUACUUUGGACACAUCAUGUGAAGAACAGAUUUUCUCAACUAGAAAGCCAAUCUUCUGCGAUAGCUAAGGGAAAAAGAAGAGCAGGACUGGCGACCAGACGGAGGGACUCGAUCGAAGCGAUAAUGGACGCGCUAGGGACAGAGGAUUCUGGAG
RNAcentral lists this long non-coding RNA (1318 nucleotides) under Scleropages formosus (Asian bonytongue). RNAcentral's name for it is "lncRNA (ENSSFOG00015031190.1)". The record is from RNAcentral. Lineage: Eukaryota; Metazoa; Chordata; Actinopteri; Osteoglossiformes; Osteoglossidae.